This 497-nucleotide ribosomal RNA is filed under the name uncultured bacterium. RNAcentral's name for it is "partial 16S ribosomal RNA". It matches the Rfam family "Bacterial small subunit ribosomal RNA", at positions 28 to 507 of the family's 1533-position model. The record is from RNAcentral.
GACGAACGCUGGCGGCGUGCCUAAUACAUGCAAGUUGAGCGCUGAAGGUUGGUACUUGUACCAACUGGAUGAGCAGCGAGCGGGUGAGUAACGCGUGGGGAAUCUGCCUUUGAGCGGGGGACAACAUUUGGAAACGAAUGCUAAUACCGCAUAAAAACUUUAAACACAAGUUUUAAGUUUGAAAGAUGCAAUUGCAUCACUCAAAGAUGAUCCCGCGUUGUAUUAGCUAGUUGGUGAGGUAAAGGCUCACCAAGGCGAUGAUACAUAGCCGACCUGAGAGGGUGAUCGGCCACAUUGGGACUGAGACACGGCCCAAACUCCUACGGGAGGCAGCAGUAGGGAAUCUUCGGCAAUGGACGAAAGUCUGACCGAGCAACGCCGCGUGAGGGAAGAAGGUUUUCGGAUCGUAAAACUCUGUUGGUAGAGAAGAACGUUGGUGAGAGUGGAAAGCUCAUCAAGUGACGGUAACUACCCAGAAAGGGACGGCUAACUACGUG